AUGCAUGUGGCUGCCUGUAAUAACAGGUUAUUUUCUCAGAGGUUAACAAACCAAUGUUACAUGCAUGUACCUUACUCGCAUGCAGUCGUGGAGUCCAUCGGGGUGUGCUACGGCAUGAGCGCCAACAACCUGCCAGCGGCGAGCACCGUCGUGGGCAUGUUCAAGUCCAACGGGAUCAAAUCGAUGCGGCUGUACGCCCCCGACAAGGCGGCGCUGCAGGCCGUCGGUGGCACGGGCAUCUACGUGGUCGUCGGGGCGCCUAACGACGUGCUCUCCAACCUCGCCGCCAGCCCGGCGGCCGCCGCCUCGUGGGUCAGGAGCAACAUCCAGGCGUAUCCCAAGGUUUCCUUCCGGUACGUCUGCGUCGGAAACGAGGUCGCCGGCGGUGCCACCCGGAACCUCGUCCCAGCAAUGAAGAACGUGCAUGGCGCGCUCACUUCCGCCGGGCUGGGCCACAUCAAGGUGACCACGUCGGUGUCGCAGGCCAUCCUCGGCGUGUACAGCCCGCCCUCUGCCGGGUCCUUCACCGCAGAGGCGGCCGCGUUCAUGGGCCCCGUGGUGCAGUUCCUUGCCCGCACCCGCGCACCGCUCAUGGCCAACAUCUACCCCUACCUGGCCUGGGCCUACAACCCGAGCGCCAUGGACAUGAGCUACGCCCUCUUCACCGCAUCCGGCACCGUGGUCCAGGACGGUGGCUUCGGGUACCAGAACCUGUUCGAUACCACGAUGGACGCCUUCUACACGGCCAUGGCCAAGCACGGCGGCUCUAACGUGAAGCUAGUGGUGUCGGAGAGCGGGUGGCCGUCCGGCGGCGGCACCGCGGCGACUCCAGCCAACGCCAGGUUCUACAACCAGCACCUCAUCAACCACGUCGGGCGCGGAACCCCACGCCACCAGGGCGCCAUCGAGACCUACAUCUUCGCCAUGUUCAACGAGAACCAGAAGACCAGCGGCGUGGAGCAGCACUGGGGACUCUUCUACCCCAACAUGCAGCACGUCUACCCCAUCAACUUCUGA
RNAcentral lists this ribosomal RNA (1017 nucleotides) under Triticum aestivum (bread wheat). Its description in RNAcentral is "partial small subunit ribosomal RNA". The record is from RNAcentral. Lineage: Eukaryota; Viridiplantae; Streptophyta; Magnoliopsida; Poales; Poaceae.